Molecule: ribosomal RNA, 657 nt
Filed under: uncultured bacterium
Lineage: Bacteria
Description: bacterial SSU rRNA
Rfam family: Bacterial small subunit ribosomal RNA
Source: RNAcentral
CAGGCCUAACACAUGCAAGUCGUACGAGAAAUCCUGGGCAACUGGGAAAGUAAAGUGGCGCACGGGUGAGUAACGCGUGGGUAACCUACCCUUGGAUUUGGGAUAACCCCGCGAAAGCGGGGUUAAUACCGAAUGAUAUUCCGAUUCCUAAGGGAUUUGGAAUUAAAGAUGGCCUCUGCAUGCAAGCUAUCGUCCAUGGAUGGGCCCGCGUACCAUUAGCUUGUUGGUAAGGUAAUGGCCUACCAAGGCAACGAUGGUUAGCUGGUCUUAGAGGAUGGCCAGCCACACUGGAACUGAGACACGGUCCAGACUCCUACGGGAGGCAGCAGUGGGGAAUCUUGCGCAAUGGGGGAAACCCUGACGCAGCAACGCCGCGUGGGUGAUGAAGGCCUUCGGGUCGUAAAGCCCUGUCAGGUGGGAAGAAACAUAUUGGUGCUAAUAUCACCGAUGUUUGACGGUACCUCCGGAGGAAGCACCGGCUAACUCCGUGCCAGCAGCCGCGGUAAUACGGAGGGUGCAAGCGUUGUUCGGAAUUACUGGGCGUAAAGCGCGUGUAGGCGGUUGGGUAAGUCAGAUGUGAAAUCCUUCCGCUUAACGGAAGAAGUGCAUUUGAAACUACUCGGCUAGAGUACGGGAGAGGAGAGUGGAUUCCCGGUG